CCAAGUAUAAAAGAAGAGACAUUUAUUAUCUUUUCCCUCAUUAAUGAUAGUUGGUCGGUGGGAGAGUAAAGAAGAGAGAGAAAGAAAGAAGAAGAAGAAGAAAAGAAGAAGGAGAAGAAGAAGAAGAAGAAAGAAGAAAGGAAAUUGAUCGUAAAGCUUCACCGGAGCUGGGUCUCAAUAUUUUGAGCCCGGAUUAAUGAUCAUCUCAUUGGGAUUUUUGAUUUGAGGAUUUGGAAGGAGUGCUGGUGAAGAUCAAGAGUCUUUGAAGUUCUUGGGUUAAAGAAGUGAAAUUUGGGGUUUCAUUGGUGUUCUUGAGAAAGAGGUUACACUCAUUAUACGCGUACCCACACAUCGGAUCUCUUGCGUGCCAGGUACAAGCACCG
Molecule: long non-coding RNA, 383 nt
Organism: Macadamia integrifolia
Lineage: Eukaryota; Viridiplantae; Streptophyta; Magnoliopsida; Proteales; Proteaceae
Exons: 3
Source: RefSeq, a predicted model, not a curated record